CAGUAGCCGCGGGAAUACAGAGGGUGCGAGCGUUAAUCGGAUUUACUGGGCGUAAAGCGUGCGUAGGCGGCUAAUUGCGUCGGAUGUGAAAUCCCCGAGCUUAACUUGGGAAUUGCAUUCGAUACUGGUUAGCUAGAGUGUGGGAGAGGAUGGUAGAAUUCCAGGUGUAGCGGUGAAAUGCGUAGAGAUCUGGAGGAAUACCGAUGGCGAAGGCAGCCAUCUGGCCUAACACUGACGCUGAGGUACGAAAGCAUGGGGAGCAAACAGGAUUAGAUACCCCCGUAGUCCCUGUCUCUUAUAC
RNAcentral lists this ribosomal RNA (301 nucleotides) under uncultured bacterium. Its description in RNAcentral is "partial 16S ribosomal RNA". It matches the Rfam family "Bacterial small subunit ribosomal RNA", at positions 509 to 807 of the family's 1533-position model. The record is from RNAcentral.